Long non-coding RNA from Oncorhynchus keta (chum salmon), 508 nucleotides. RefSeq lists it as uncharacterized. The transcript is spliced from 2 exons. Lineage: Eukaryota; Metazoa; Chordata; Actinopteri; Salmoniformes; Salmonidae. The record is from RefSeq and is a predicted model, not a curated record.
CUGAAGUCCCGUGUUGAUGAAACGUUCCAAAUCAUCUCAAUGUAGCCUCACAUCAAGACAACCUUUCGUCUUGGACAAGCACAGCUGGCGUUGAAAUGGUAUCAUCAAAGUUCGUCAAAAUGUGUUUACAUCAUCCUCCUGUUGGUACUGCUGCUCAUUCUGCUUACCAGUUCCGGAGGUCUACGUCACCGGCUUUCUAGGCUUCACUGAACGAGAUUCAUCAUUAUCAACCCCGGACUGUCUUGUCUGAUUACACACACCUGGUUCCCAUUUCCCCUGAUUAGUAUGCUAUAUAUGUGCCCUCUGUUCCCUCUGUCAGUUACUGUUCCCAUGUUUGUUGGUGGUGUGAGUACCUCUGUGUUGGUGCAGCUGUUAUGCUGUAUACUAUGUAUAUAUAUAUUGUGUAUUACGGUUAUCGUGGCGUUCAACAAGGUUUGGGUACAGCCCAGUGUUUUUGUAUACGUGCUUGUUUUGGGUGUAUUAAAAACCCCUAUUGUGUAUUCCUGAA